Triticum aestivum (bread wheat) is the source of this 2216-nucleotide long non-coding RNA. RefSeq lists it as uncharacterized. NCBI's taxonomy places the organism in Eukaryota, Viridiplantae, Streptophyta, Magnoliopsida, Poales, Poaceae. The record is from RefSeq and is a predicted model, not a curated record. The transcript has 2 exons.
GAUAGGAAAAAAGAACGCAGCCUUCCAAUCCCGUCUCCAACUCCGGUGCGCCGCCACCCCCUGCCCUGCCGCCGCGCACCGGACUGGCGCGCGUGGACAUGGUGCCUGGUGGGGGAGGGGAGUGUCGCACCGCAAGUAUCGCGCCGGCGGGCUGCGUGCUCCUCGAGCGGCUGGAGGCGGCGUGGCUGCUCGACGCAGAACGAAGGCGGCGGCCGGAGCUUGCAGGGGAUGGAUUCGUGUGCGACAGGGGCUGGGGAGGCGGAUCUGGAGGCGUUCGACGAGGCGGGGUUCGCCUGUGACGAGGAGGAUGGCCGGAGCGCGGCUUCCCGGGAGGAUCCAUAGCAUCCUCGGCUCCAGGACAGAAAGGAGACACGGUGGUGAGGGAGAGAAGAAGGCAGAAAGGAGGGGCGGUGCGGUGACCUAGGCCGGAGCUCACCGGUGUCCGGCAACGGCGGACGGGCGCCACUGCUACUGCAUCCCUGGUAUUCCUCUCACCUCUCCUGCCUUAACGAUAUCUGCUGCGUCGCCAAAGCCUCGGCCGCACAUCACCAGCAUCUCCGGCCUCGAAUACUCCUGCCACUGCACCCAGAGGCCCGUCGCCAUGACCGGAUCCAGUAAGGUGCCUCUAAUGCCCCCCUCUCCCUCAUGGCACAUGUGCUAUUUUACUCGGAAAGGCCAUUGCUCACGUUUUGAAUUUUGGCAUCAGCUCUGUUGUCGUGCUUCAGUUCUUUGCUGGAAGAACCUCAAUUGUUUCUUUGCUUCGGUUGUUCUUCAAUCUUAGCUCUCAGUUCUCAACAUAUGCAUUACAAUAUGUUUGUUGUCUGUGGGGAUGGAGUGAAGAAAUUGGAUUGGGGUCAUGGAAUAAAUCAACUAGAGGAUGCAACUCAUGUUCUUGUAGGUAGUCAUUCAGACAUUUCUUAACUCUGCUGCAAAAUCAGCUGCCACAGCUCUGCGCUGCCGGUCAUGGAAACCUCUCAUGUAUCCCCUCUUGUCGCUUCUCACCAGCAGCGUCUCUAUGCCGUGGCAGCGGCGCUCCCGACCCGACAAUCGAAGCUGCUGCUCCCGAUCUAUUGUGUCUGGGCAGUCCCAGCCACUCCUCCCUAGCAAACUUGUGCUCUUCCUUCGGCUUGCCUUCCAUAGGGUCUGGCACCGCUUCAAUUAUAAUCUGCAGGACAUACACAAGUUGCAGACAAAUCGAUUGAAAUAAUGUGCUAAGCCUUGGGCUCCAUUGCCACUUUGUCAGCUUGUUGAUAUUAGAGGGAGGAUCAAAGGGGUGAUUGGUACUUUCCCUUACAACAGCUGGUGAAACGCAACGAAUUUUCUCAACCAAUGAAGCUUUCUCUGUGGUGUCCAAGUUAUGAACUCCUACAAUUUCAGGUGUACUGCAAUCCAGGAAUGCAGCAGGCCAGAACAAUGGACAAUGAUCGUACUAUGAGUGGCUAGGUAUUGGCCUACCGUGGCAAGAUGCCAAUGACUCUAUGAGGUGUGUAAAAUAUGGAUCUGUAAAUGUCCGAGGUUGCCUUGGGGGCCAAAUGCCGCAAACAGGUCAAGGAUCUUCUUAUAUGACAGAAGCUAAGGUCCAUUGUCACUCAACACAGUCUCCUUGAGAUACAAAUUCCAGCUUUAAAGUGUGGCAAUGACGCAAAUUCUUUGCUGCAAUCAUAGGAGAUCCAGUCAGGCUACAAAAUUUUCCUGUGCCACCCUAUGUACGACGCCAGCGGUGAGAUGGGCGGGAACUCUUUGGCGUGCCAGCACACAGGAACGACACAUGCCGUACACCCCGAAGGACACGUUCGCCAGGCUUGACCUGACCCUCUCUGACACCACCUUGCCGCCUCUGUUGCUGGAGAUCAGCCGAAGAGUUAGCUUGUUGCCGCUUUGCUUCAAUGGUUGCUUCAAUGCUCUUCGACUCUCCAUAAUGAGCAGAUGAUGGUGCUUGGACGAAGCAAUUGAUCGGAAAAUGGGUAGUGUUGUACUGGUGGUCUUGUGUCCGCCCACUAACUGUAAAACAUCUAAGAUGAUUCUUCAGGACUUGAUACAUUCCAAUUACUCAUUUGGGUCUUUUUCUUACUCUUAUACUUGGUUUUGCUUAGUAAUCUUAAGAUCAAUUCUUUCGAUGUAUAACUAUAUGUAGAGCACAGGACCCGACCUUGCAUGUGGCCGGUUUAAUUUGUUUACUGAAGAAAUUAGUUUAAAAAUGUUCACAGUUUUACACA